UAGGGAAUCUUCCGCAAUGGGCGAAAGCCUGACGGAGCAACGCCGCGUGAGUGAUGAAGGUCUUCGGAUCGUAAAACUCUGUUAUUAGGGAAGAACAUAUGUGUAAGUAACUGUGCACAUCUUGACGGUACCUAAUCAGAAAGCCACGGCUAACUACGUGCCAGCAGCCGCGGUAAUACGUAGGUGGCAAGCGUUAUCCGGAAUUAUUGGGCGUAAAGCGCGCGUAGGCGGUUUUUUAAGUCUGAUGUGAAAGCCCACGGCUCAACCGUGGAGGGUCAUUGGAAACUGGAAAACUUGAGUGCGGAAGAGGAAAGUGGAAUUCCAUGUGUAGCGGUGAAAUGCGCAGAGAUAUGGAGGAACACCAGUGGCGAAGGCGACUUUCUGGUCUGUAACUGACGCUGAUGUGCGAAAGCGUGGGGAUCAAACAGGAUUAGAUACCCUGGUAGUCCACGCCGUAAACGAUGAGUGCUAAGUGUUAGGGGGUUUCCGCCCCUUAGUGCUGCAGCUAACGCAUUAAGCACUCCGCCUGGGGAGUACGACCGCAAGGUUGAAACUCAAAUGAAUUGACGGGGGCCCGCACAAGCGGUGGAGCAUGUGGUUUAAUUCGAAGCAACGCGAAGAACCUUACC
RNAcentral lists this ribosomal RNA (629 nucleotides) under Staphylococcus aureus. RNAcentral's name for it is "bacterial SSU rRNA". It matches the Rfam family "Bacterial small subunit ribosomal RNA", at positions 355 to 975 of the family's 1533-position model. The record is from RNAcentral. Lineage: Bacteria; Bacillati; Bacillota; Bacilli; Caryophanales; Staphylococcaceae.